ACGCUCACACCUACGGGAGGCAGCAGUGGGGAAUAUUGCACAAUGGGGGAAACCCUGAUGCAGCAACGCCGCGUGAGUGAAGAAGUAUUUCGGUAUGUAAAGCUCUAUCAGCAGGGAAGAUAAUGACGGUACCUGACUAAGAAGCUCCGGCUAAAUACGUGCCCGCAGCCGCGGUAAUCUGAGCGGGCUGGCAAGGC
Molecule: ribosomal RNA, 197 nt
Filed under: uncultured bacterium
Lineage: Bacteria
Description: partial 16S ribosomal RNA
Rfam family: Bacterial small subunit ribosomal RNA
Source: RNAcentral